This 350-nucleotide ribosomal RNA is filed under the name uncultured bacterium. Its description in RNAcentral is "bacterial SSU rRNA". It matches the Rfam family "Bacterial small subunit ribosomal RNA", at positions 335 to 690 of the family's 1533-position model. The record is from RNAcentral.
ACUCCGUACGGGGAGGCAGCAGGUGGGGGAAUAUUGCACAAUAGGGCGGCAAGCCUGAUGCAGCAACGCCGUGUGAGUGAAGAAGGUUUUACGGUAUCGUAAAACUACUGUCCUAAGGGAAGAAACAAAUAGACGGUACCUUAGGAGGAAGCCCGGCCUAACUACGUGCCAGCAGCCGCGGUAAUACGUAGGGGCGAAGCGUUAUCCGGAAUCACUGGGCGUAAAGGGUGCGUAGGCGGCUUAGCAAGCCAGGGGUGAAAGGCAUUGGCUCAACCAAUGUAAGCCUUUGGAACUGUUAAGCUUGAGUGCAGGAGAGGUAAGUGGAAUUCCUAGUGUAGAGGUGAAAUUCG